CAUUACCGAGUUAUACAACUCAUCAACCCUGUGAACAUACCUAAAACGUUGCUUCGGCGGGAACAGACGGCCCUGUAACAACGGGCCGCCCCCGCCAGAGGACCCCUAACUCUGUUUUUAUAAUGUUUUUCUGAGUAAACAAGCAAAUAAAUUAAAACUUUCAACAACGGAUCUCUUGGCUCUGGCAUCGAUGAAGAACGCAGCGAAAUGCGAUAAGUAAUGUGAAUUGCAGAAUUCAGUGAAUCAUCGAAUCUUUGAACGCACAUUGCGCCCGCCAGUAUUCUGGCGGGCAUGCCUGUUCGAGCGUCAUUACAACCCUCAGGCCCCCGGGCCUGGCGUUGGGGAUCGGCGGAAGCCCCCUGUGGGCACACGCCGUCCCUCAAAUACAGUGGCGGUCCCGCCGCAGCUUCCAUUGCGUAGUAGCUAACACCUCGCAACUGGAGAGCGGCGCGGCCAUGCCGUAAAACACCCAACUUCUGAAUGUUGACCUCGAAUCAGGUAGGAAUACCCGCUGAACUUAAGCAUAUC
RNAcentral lists this ribosomal RNA (528 nucleotides) under Fusarium solani. RNAcentral describes it as "eukaryotic LSU rRNA". The stretch from base 156 to 309 matches the Rfam family "5.8S ribosomal RNA". The record is from RNAcentral. Lineage: Eukaryota; Fungi; Ascomycota; Sordariomycetes; Hypocreales; Nectriaceae.